This 126-nucleotide ribosomal RNA is filed under the name uncultured bacterium. RNAcentral describes it as "partial 16S ribosomal RNA". It matches the Rfam family "Bacterial small subunit ribosomal RNA", at positions 917 to 1045 of the family's 1533-position model. The record is from RNAcentral.
GGGCCCGCACAAGCAGCGGAGCAUGUGGUUUAAUUCGACGCAACGCGAAGAACCUUACCUGGGUUUGACAUGGUAGGAAAAGCCAUAGAGAUAUGGUGUCCUUUUGGGCCUAUCACAGGUGGUGCA